CAGCCGCCGCGGUAAUACCGGCGGCCCGAGUGGCGGCCACUAUUAUUGGGCCUAAAGCGUCCGUAGCCGGGCUGGUAAGUCCUCCGGGAAAUCUGGUCGCUUAACGAUCAGACUUCCGGAGGAUACUGCUGGCCUAGGGACCGGGAGAGGCCGAGGGUAUUCCCGGGGUAGGGGUGAAAUCCUGUAAUCCCGGGAGGACCACCUGUGGCGAAGGCGCUCGGCUGGAACGGGUCCGACGGUGAGGGACGAAGGCCAGGGGAGCGAACCGGAUUAGAUACCCGGGUAGUCCUGGCUGUAAAGGAUGCGGGCUAGGUGUCGGGUGAGCUUCGGGCUCGCCCGGUGCCGUAGGGAAGCCGUUAAGCCCGCCGCCUGGGGAGUACGGCCGCAAGGCUGAAACUUAAAGGAAUUGGCGGG
This 414-nucleotide ribosomal RNA is filed under the name uncultured microorganism. RNAcentral's name for it is "bacterial SSU rRNA". It matches the Rfam family "Archaeal small subunit ribosomal RNA", at positions 459 to 872 of the family's 1478-position model. The record is from RNAcentral.